Molecule: long non-coding RNA, 977 nt
Filed under: Erythranthe guttata (spotted monkey flower)
Lineage: Eukaryota; Viridiplantae; Streptophyta; Magnoliopsida; Lamiales; Phrymaceae
Description: long non-coding RNA (EGUT_LNC000922)
Source: RNAcentral
GACUGAAUUGUAAUUUUCUGGAAAAUACAUUAUAUUUAUAAAAUUAUGGGAGCUGAAAAUACUAUUUUGGGAAAAAAUAUCGUCUUCACCAAAUUUCUUCUUCCCAUUGAAAUCGCCACCACUACCAACAAACUCCCACAACAUGUCUCCUCCGCUCUUCUCGCCGCAGACACCUCGUUGCCGUUUCUGUGGCUAGGAAAAUGCGGAUUAAUCGACAAGAGACAUCUUCUGGUGCUGCAGAAAUUGAUCGCCUGGUGCGCGUUUGUUGGAAGUUAGUUUGCAGGUGAUGGAGUUGAGAAAAAUUGACGAAGAGGAGAGGUGUUUGGCGCCCUCACAAACCCGAUUCUGCCAUAAGAGAACGGUGUAUAUUGCGGCAGAGAGUGGUGGUGGUUUGGUGUCCCCGCCAUGGAUGAUGGCCGAGAAUGGUGGUGGUUUUAUUUGAGAAAAUUGGAUAUUAUUCAAUUAAUUAUUUUUUAAUUUAUACCGACUACUUAUUAAAAAGUAAAGGAAAAAAAGAAAGAAAGAAAAUAAGUUGGGGGCAAUUCUGUCAUUUCAAGCAACAAAAGAGGAAGAAAAAUCGCACAAACCGCGAGUGAGACACACGAUUUGCGACAAGGGAGUUUUUUGCCUUUUUGACUAAUAAAUGAAGGGGGGUGGUAUUUGGGAAUUUUUUUAUGACAGGUGAAAAGUUGCGAUUUUCACAGGGGUAGUAAAUGUAAUAAGCUCUAUUGAGUUUAAUUGUUCGUUUAUUAUUAAGGGCCUAUUACAAAUAAGUCCAUCAUGGGCUACUUAUUCAUAAAGGGGUCCAGACAAAUGUUUUUUUACAAAGAAGUCCAGACAUUGUCCAUAGGUGUGGUAAAAACUAAAAUACCCCCUCAUAUUUUAAUACGCUUCAAUUUCAUCCUUUAAUUCAAUUUAACCCCAAAUUUCACCAAUUUUCAAUUUUGGCCCAUAACCCAAUUUUGAGUACAAUUUCG